GGUGAGUCUGGGCCCCGCCCCCUAGGCCUGGUGGAAUCAGCCUGAAGAGGGAGCGGCCUUCCCCAACACUCACGGUAGUACCUCUUUUGUCCCCAUCCGGCACCCAGCUCUCACCUGUGACUCCUAGAAGCUGUCAGCAUGUGGCAGUGGCCACACCCCAAUGAAAUCAGAUGAGGAUAGCCAAUGGGUCUCAAACCCUCAGUGAGUUAGGGAGUUCCCCCGCAGGUGAAGACAGGCUCCCGCAGAUUGAGCAGAUGAGAGAAAUUGUGGGUCCAUUGGUUAAGAAGGCAGUUUCUGCACUUGCUGUAGAGGGAAGUGAAGGGCAGAGGGCAGAGGGAAGUGAAGGGGCUCAUCAGCCUGGGAAGGUAGUCCUUCUAGGACAGGGGUCAGCAAACUUUUUCAGCAGGGGCCAGUCCACUGUCCCUCAGACCUUGUGGGAGGCCAGACUACAGUGGUACCUCGGGUUAAGUACUUAAUUCGUUCCGGAGGUCCGUUCUUAACCUGAAACUGUUCUUAACCUGAAGCACCACUUUAGCUAAUGGGGCCUCCUGCUGCUGCCACGCCGCCGGAGCACGAUUUCUGUUCUCAUCCUGAAACAAAGUUCUUAACCUGAAGCACUAUUUCUGGGUUAGCGGAGUCUGUAACCUGAAGCGUAUGUAACCUGAAGCGUAUGUAACCUGAGGUACCACUGAUUAUAUAUAGAUAUUUUUAUAGGGGGAAUGAAUGAAUUCCUAUGCCCCACAAAUAACCCACAAAGAUGCAUUUUAAAUAAAAGGACACAUUCUACUCAUGUAAAAACACCAGGCAGGCCCCACAAAUAAACCAGAGAUGCAUUUUAAAUAAAAGGACAUGCUGAUUCCCAGACCGCCUGCGGGCCAGAUUGAGAAGGCGAUUGGGCUGGAUCUAGCCCUAAGCCUGAGUUUGCCUACCCAUGUUCUAGGAGAAAGAAAACUGUGAUCCUAAACCGCCACUGCUUUGUGGGAUAUCUGCGGGAGAAGGAAAGGCUAGUGGAAAGCUGAUUUAGAUAAGAAAAAGUGAGUUAAGUAUGCUUCCCCAGCACCUCUGUUCCAAUGCUGUUCAGAAAGGCCCCCCCCCCCCCGAAAGGCUACUUUGAAAUAAAUAUUAAAACAUGGUGGAGGGAUCAAAUCCCAAGUAUUGAUCAUAGCAAUCCCACAUCAUUAAGAGAGGCCUGUUUUCUCAAACUCCUAAUGCCAUUGCUUUUAGGGCAAGUUUACACAUUACCCAGUAAAAUGUUAGCUGCUGGAAAAUGACACCAAGUGGUUCAGAUGGGAGGGCAAUAGACACUUUUCGUGUUUAUCCUUCCAAUUGUGUGCAGUCUCUCCAUGCCAGAAACAUGAUGCCCCAGUGCUGUCAUGGAGACUCUUCAUGGACACUUCUUUUUUUGGGCAGACUCUCUUUGCCAACACUAGCCACCUCAAGAAUGUAUGGCUCGGGAAUGAAAAAUUAGCACAAGAUUUAGGAGAUUACCGAAGAUCACUGGCAUGCUUUUUCACGUGCUAAAAAUGAUAGGAUUCCUUUCAGAUUGUCGUAGACUAGUAUUAGAUCAGUCUAUGGUGGAAAGCUAAAAGUUCCAUGUAACAUUAUACACCACUGACAGGCUUUACUGUUUGCUAAAGUUUCCUGAACCUCUGUACUGCUGCUGUUUUCCCCAUUUAGAGAGUGAUAUACAUGAAAAUGCUUAUUCCAGAAGUGGUAGGACAUUUAUUUUUUUGUCACUAAGGUAUUGAAAUUAAAUUAGAACAGAGGAGAAAUGGUCAUUGGCCCGUUAAAGAAGGACCACAUACACAUGGCUAGAAGAUUAGUUAACAACUGGUUUGGCUGCAUUACGCAUUAGAGACAGAAUGCCAUCAUUUCACUCCUGAGCAAUGAUACUUUUUCCAGAUUGUCAGAGGGGCAGAGGUGUUCUGGGGAAAUUGCUUCCUUCACAAUGCAACUAGUAUCUAUGUGAGACAUAUUCCAUUCUUUUGCCAUAUAUGUGCAAGCAGAUAUCUUUCUGGGCUGAGAAGUAUAGUGUGCCAAUUUUAAACUGCUUUAAUUAAAUAACUUCCAUCAUUAUGAUGAGCAAAAGAAAAGCAAAAAAUAUCCAAUUUAAUGUUGUUUAAUUUCAAAGCAGUUAAAAACCCCCUCCAAACAGUAAGAACUUGAAAUCUAAUCAGUUACUUUUCAGGCAUCAGUCCCUGAAAAUAUAUGCUUAAGAUUCAACUAUCAUGAUAUAUUUGCUUGGCAUGAGAAGGUGCUUGGAUAGGGAACCAGAAAUUAUGGGGGUCCCUGAAUGACAUCCACAAGCCCCACCCACUGACUCCUUCCAAUUUUAGCUAAAUUAUACCCUCCCUAGUAUGCUUCUAAAAAUAGUAAUUAAGGAGGCUGGAACAAGAGGAAGACAGACCCUCCAAGUGUCCCUAUUUUCCAGGGACGUGCCUGAUUUAGAGAAGCCAUCCUGGUUUCUGAUUUGAUCCUGGAAUGUCCCAUUUUUCCUUAGGAUGUCCCUAAUCAUGGUUUGUUGAGUGAUUAGCAUCAUUUAAACAAUUAAACAAUUAUAUACACAAGGGCCACUGAAAGAAACUGAUGUAGAUCGAUUUUUGGAAACAAACGGAUUACAAAAAAUCUCUCAAGAAAAUAAAUUAAUGUUGAAUUAUAAAAUAACUGAACAGGAGAUAGAAGGUGCCAUUCAAAAUAUGCAAUUGGGUAAAUCUCCAGGACCGGAUGGACUGACUUCUAGAUAUUACAGAUCCUUGAAAGAAUGGCUAGUACAACCCUUGAAAGAGGUCUGUAAUGAAAUAAUGGAGGGGAAAAGGGCACCAGAGUCGUGGAAAGAAGCUUAUAUUACACUUGUACCAAAAACAGAGACUGAAAAGACGCAGCUUAAGAACUACCGUCCCAUAUCAUUACUUAAUGUGGAUUACAAAAUUUUUGCAGACAUUUUGGCCAAGAGACUGAAAAAAGUGUUGAUGGAAGGGAUUCAUAAAGAACAAGCGGGCUUUUUCCCGGGUAGACACUUGUCUGACAAUAUGAGGAACAUAAUUGACAUUUUGGAGAAACUAGAAGUGAACAUAAACACUAAAGCAGUUUUGAUAUUUGUGGACGUGGAGAAAGCUUUUGACAGCAUUUCUUGGAGUUUUAUGAAGAAGAACCUACAGGGUAUGGGGGUAGGCCAAGGCUUUGAAAACGGUAUAAGUGCAAUUUAUUCAGAACAAAAGGCUAAAUUAAUUGUAAAUAAUGUGGUGACAGAAGAAUUUAAGAUAGAAAAAGGGACACGACAAGGUUGCCCAAUUUCCCCACUGCUUUUUAUUUCGGUCCUGGAGGUUUUGCUGAACAUGAUCAGAAGGGACCAGUUGGUUAAAGGUAUACAGGUCGGAGCCAAACAGUACAAAUUGAGAGCAUUUGCAGAUGACUUAGUACUGACGUUACAGGAGCCAGAAUCUAGUACCAAAAGGGUUUUAGAACUGAUUCAAGAAUUUGGUCAAGUCGCAGGAUUUAAAUUGAAUAAGGUAAAAACUAAGGUUUUAGAGAAAAAUUUAACACCAAUAGAGAGAGAGAGGUUUCAGAAUGAGACAGGUUUAACAGUGGUUAAGAAAGUUAAAUACUUGGGGAUCAACUUGACAGCAAAAAAAUGGGAAUUUAUUUAAAGAUAACUAUGAAAAUGUUGGGCUGAAGUGAAAAAAAGAUUUGGAAAUUUGGUCAAAUUUGAAGCUUUCACUGCUGGGCCGUAUUGCUGCGGUUAAAAUGAAUGUAUUGCCUAGAAUGUUGUUUUCGUUUCAAACAUUGCAAAUUGUGGACAAAAUGGACUGUUUCAAGAGGUGGCAGAGAGACAUUUCUAGAUUUGUCUGGCAGGGCAAGAAGCCCAGAAUAAAAUUUAAAAUACUAACAGAUGCAAAGGAAAGAGGUGGAUUUGCCCUGCCAGACCUCAAACUUUAUUAUGAAUCAGCAGCUUUUUGCUAGUUGAAAGAAUGGCUGCUUCUUGAAAACACUGACAUUUUGGAUUUAGAAGGUUUUAACAAUGUAUUUGGAUGGCAUGCAUACUUAUGGUAUGAUAAGGUCAAAGCACAUAAAGCAUUUAAAAAUCACAUUGUCAGGAAAGCAUUGUUCAAUGUUUGGAUAAGAUAUAAGGAUUUAUUGGAAAAUAAAACCCCAAGGUGGCUGUCACCGAUGGAAGCGAAAGCUCUGAAAAAGCUCAAUAUGGAGGUCAAAUGGCCGAAAUAUUGGGAAAUUUUGGAACAAGAUGGAGAUAGAUUGAAACUGCAGAGUUUUGAAAACUAAAAACAAAGUGCGAGACUGGCUUCAUUAUUAUCAGAUAAUGGAGGCAUACAAUUUGGAUAAGAAAAUCGGCUUCCAGGUGGAAAAAUCAAAAUUAGAAACAGAAUUGUUAGAACCCAAAACUAAGAUGGGCACAAGAUGUUGGACAUAAUAUUAUGUUUGCUGACUGGGAACAGUUAUGGACCACAGGUAUGAAGUUUACGGCAUGUAAUGCCCUAAGAGAGAAUAUUAUGAAAAUGAUAUACAGGUGGUACAUGACCCCAGUCAAGCUUGCAAAAUCUAUCAUUUGCCCGAUAAUAAAUGCUGGAAAUGUAAAGAAACUGAAGGUACAUUCUUUCACCUUGGUGGACGUGCCCAAGGAUUAAGGCUUUCUGGGAAAUGAUAUAUAAUGAACUGAAAAAGGUAUUUAAAUAUACCUUCCCGAAGAAACCAGAGGCCUUUCUCCUGGGCAUUGUUGGCCAAUUGGUGCUAAAGAAGGACAGAACUUUUUUUAUGUAUGCUACAACAGCAGCAAGAAUACUAAUUGCAAAGUAUUGGAAGACACAAGAUCUACCCACUUUGGAAGAAUGGCAGAUGAAGGUGAUGGACUAUAUGGAAUUGGCAGAAAUGACCGGUAGAAUCCGAGACCAGGGGGAAGAGUCGGUGGAAGAAGAUUGGAAGAAAUUUAAAGACUAUUUACAGAAAUAUUGCAAAAUUAACGAAUGUUAGAAUGAUGUUGGAUUGAAGUUAAGUGGUUUCUAGCGGUAUAGGUACAAAAGAAUAUAGAAAAAUUGGCUUUUAAUAUGUAAAAAUUUAAUGUUAUAAUAUAUCAAGAUUAAAGAUUAGGAUUAAAAAGGAGGGAAAGGAAUUGUUGGAUUAACAAAUUGAAUUGGAAUACAAAAGAGGGAGGUAUGAGGAGGUCCGGGAAACAAGUAAACGUAAAAGAAGUGAAGAAAAGAUGGAAUUGUUUUUAACUGUUUUUUCUUUUUUCUACUUUGUAUUUUUCCUUUUUAUUGUUAAUUUUUUUAUUAAUGUGAUUUUUCUUCUUUUGAAACUUUAAUAAAUAUAUAUAUAUAUAUUUUAAAGUGAUUAGCAUCAUGGACUGAAGAAGAUUGCUGUGAAACCUGGAUAAUAUCUGAAGAACAGGUCUCAUCUAUUUGGCUCCAAUUGAUCAUUUGGCUUUGCACUUCCAGCUAAUGACCACUUGAAGAACGCUUUCUGGUAACCACUCCUACAUUUAUUGCUUUGUGCUUCCAGUGA
Molecule: long non-coding RNA, 5514 nt
Filed under: Podarcis lilfordi (Lilford's wall lizard)
Lineage: Eukaryota; Metazoa; Chordata; Lepidosauria; Squamata; Lacertidae
Source: RNAcentral